RNAcentral lists this long non-coding RNA (2825 nucleotides) under Vigna radiata. RNAcentral's name for it is "long non-coding RNA (VRAD_LNC011572)". The record is from RNAcentral. Lineage: Eukaryota; Viridiplantae; Streptophyta; Magnoliopsida; Fabales; Fabaceae.
GUAGAUAAAUAUUUAAAAUGGAAGCAAAAGAAAAAAAAGAAAAAUAAAAGAUAGAUAAAUAAAUAAUGAAAAUAAAAUAAAAAGUAAAAGAUAAAAUAGAUAAAAAUAAACUAAUAAGUAAAAAGAAAGGGUGUGGUGGUGCUAAAAUAAGAGAAGGGGUAUUCAAUCCCAAUUUAGUUCUAAAAACAGAUUGAGCCUAAGCCCAAGUAGAAAAAAGGUGGUAAAAAUGAAAAAUAGGGGUGUACAAACUAAAUUAUCUCUAAAGGCAGAUUGGGCCUAAGCCCAAUUGAAAAGGGUGUGACUUAGCGAACAUGGGGUGCAGAAGGGAUUCCCUUUUUUUAAUCAACAGAUGGGCUCAAGCCCAUUGCACAUGCGGUGCCAGAUAGUAGAAACUGGGGUGGCGAGAGAAGGUUUUUUGUUUGGUUUUAUUAUUAUUAUUUUGUUGGUUGGGCUUGACACCCAGGCCCAUGCUCUCUUGACCUAGAAUCGUAAGAGGGGUCAAGCCUCACUACCUCACUCUGCACUCUCAGACUCAAACACCAGAGACUCAAGGUUUCGCGUCUCUCUCUCGAAGACAACCGAACCCUCAAGCUUUCUCUCUCUCACAAGGGCGCGCCACCACCCUCAGCCAGAACCGGCCACCAGGCCAAUACUUGCACCAGUCUCGACCUCGCUGGUGGCAAUAGGUGUCACCGGAACCAUGGUUGGCCACCGCGUCCUCUUUGCGUCUCUCUCUCAAUCGCAACCGCCCAGGAUUGGGUUCCUUCGCCACCACACGACUCGACCGGCCGCCGUUCCCAUCCGGUCAGCCAUGGCAACGCCGACAUCCUCGCCACCAUCCGGCCAGCCAACGCAGGCCGUGACGACCUCACUCUCUCUCCUUCUGCUCGCGUCGGCCUAGGGUGUGGGGUUUGUCUCCAACCGGCCACCGCCUUAUCCAGUCUCGCCGCCGCUGGCGACGGCAGAUGCCACCAGGAUCCAGGCCAGCGUCACUGCACCGCCACCUUCCUUCUCCUCUUUCUAUUCUCGUGCUCUUGGGGUCAUCUCCUUUUCAUUUCACCGGUCACCACAACUCCAAUUGGUCAGGGCUGCCUUAAAGGUCCAACUUUGAACGAAUUGGCAUGGAAUUUGUGAUUUGAUUUCUGUUUAUUGGUUUGAUGCAGGUGAAAGAUGAUGUUGGGUUUGUUCUAUGGUACUCUGUGUAAGUUUCUGUUUAACUGGGUGCAAUUCCUUCGUUGGUUAUUGGAGAUGAACAGAGGCGUGGAGGUUUAAGCUUCAUUAUCUGGUUUGGCUCCUGGGAUUUUUGGUGUUUGAUGGGUAGACAUAGGCUGUCGCGUUGACAAAGAAUGGUGGAACAAGAAAAGCUGAAGUAAACUUGGAUUUCGGUUUGUUGGGAAGAUGAUGUAUCUGCAGAUGACGGGUUACUGGAAUUUGGGUUGCGCAGGUUUGGGUUAUGCAAAGAGAGUACUGGUCUCUAAUGGUUGGAGGUGGUGAAGCAUGUUCAGUUUGUUGGGAUGAAUGGAAAACAAAAAAACAAACCAUGUACAGAAACAAAUCAUGCAUACUCAAUAUAAUAGCAAGUUCGAUAUGAGCAGUCAAAGCCAGGCAUUACCAAAUCAGAACAGAAGGAGAAACCCCAUUAGGAGUAAAUUGUAAUCGUCUAACAUUCAUAACUUUGUGAGUGAUGAAGUUAAAGAGAACUUACCUUCUACGUUUACACUCUCUUCUCUCAAGUCCUUGUGAUCCUUUUUCUUAUGAUUCAACUCCACUUCUUUUCUUCAGUAGCCUUGGUGUUAGUCUAGAGAAAAAACAUUUUUCUUUGCUUCGUAAGUGUGAGGAGUGGUCAUGAAAAAAAUGGAUACUGUUUUUUUUUAUGAUUCCCAACUGGUGAGAAUGGGUGAUCAAAGUAACUGAGAGCAGGGGCAAUGGUUAGUACCGAGUACUGGUCGUGGCUGCCCAAGUGGACGGUUUCAUCAUGGAGGUUAUUAGAGGAGCCGAAGGGUGGAGAACGUGUCCUUCCUUGCCUGCCAAGACCAAACCGCCUCUGCCAAAUGUACCUCUGCCAAUUUGCAAAACGUUCUCUGCCAAAAUCCAUCCCUACACCUGUCAUGUCCCCCUUUUGUCGUUUACAAAUGUGGCUUCACUCAUUUUUUCUUUUUUUUAAUUAAAUAUAUUUAAACAAGAUAAAAUAUAAAAAGGUAAAACUUAAAAAAUGAAAAUAAAAAAUUAAAAAUUAAAAAAUAUAAAGGGAAAAGCAAAAUGAAAUAAAAAGAGAAUAGGAUGAGAUAAAUAGAAUAAAAACUAAAUCAAAUACUAAAUAGUAAAACAAAAAUUAAACAAAAUAAAACAAAAAUAAAAUAAAAUAAAAAUAAAAUAAAAUAAGACAAAAAUAAAAACUAGUCCUAUUAUUCAGUCAUCCGGACGAAAUUGGGUGUUGACACAGUAUCUCAUGACCAAAGAAGGAAAUUACAAACCAAGUAUACCCUUUAUUCCUAGUCACUAGUACAUAUCAAAUUCGAAAAAGUUACAUCAUAAUUAAUAUAACAACUUUUCUACGGUUCAUUACAUGAUUAAUCAAUUGGAUAAAACCCCCAACCCUUUCUAGAAUCAUUAUUGUUUCAGAUUGAGACCCGAAACCAAACACAAACCAAGUUGUUUCGCUGAAUUGCCUUCGUUAACCUUACUCUCACGUUCGAUCGGGUGCAACCUGCACGUUAGCACUUCGACGCUCAAGUUAGCAAAGUCGCACUAAUCUCAAGAUAAGAGUAAUUAUGUCAAAAGUGAAAAAGUACCUGAUACACGCCUUUAUAUUUAUAGGCAUCUGA